UACGUAGGCAGCGAGCGUUGUUCGGAAUUACUGGGCGUAAAGAGUGUGUAGGCGGUGCUCUAAGUUCGGUGUGAAAUCUCCCGGCUUAACUGGGAGGGUGCGCCGGAAACUGGAGUGCUCGAACGUGGGAGAGGAAAGCGGAAUUCCUGGUGUAGCGGUGAAAUGCGUAGAUAUCGGGAGGAACACCUGCGGUGUAGACGGCUUUCUGGACCAUUGUUGACGCUGAGACACGAAAGCGUGGGUAGCAAACAGG
RNAcentral lists this ribosomal RNA (253 nucleotides) under uncultured bacterium. RNAcentral's name for it is "partial 16S ribosomal RNA". It matches the Rfam family "Bacterial small subunit ribosomal RNA", at positions 524 to 776 of the family's 1533-position model. The record is from RNAcentral.